Molecule: non-coding RNA, 107 nt
Organism: Capsicum annuum
Lineage: Eukaryota; Viridiplantae; Streptophyta; Magnoliopsida; Solanales; Solanaceae
Source: Rfam
CACUCAUGAUUUGGGAAUUGUAUAAUUUUAUCAUUGAACCUUUGCUACACUUAGUAUAAAGGCUCACCACUAAGUUGACAAAAAUUUGUGAUUUCAUCUCUGAGUUG